Long non-coding RNA from Leopardus geoffroyi (Geoffroy's cat), 2268 nucleotides. RefSeq lists it as uncharacterized. NCBI's taxonomy places the organism in Eukaryota, Metazoa, Chordata, Mammalia, Carnivora, Felidae. The transcript has 3 exons. The record is from RefSeq and is a predicted model, not a curated record.
CGGCAGCUACCAAAAAGGAGUUCAUAUGGGAAUAAGAUGUGUAUCUCAAACUUGCAAGCAGAUGAACUGGUAUCUGUGAACAUGAUCUUCGGUUUCCUGGGUAGCGUGGGGAAUGGCCAAGUAUGUAUGCCAUGCUGAUUCCUCUUAUGCUAGACUCGACUAGGAAAUUGUAGCUUUGAGAACGUUUGGGAAGAGUGAAAUUCAAGAGGUAAUUACGGUUACUUCAGGUCUGGGUGAAAGGGGCCACAUUGUUUCCAUCACCCAGGAUCAACCUUAAUCAGCCAUCUCACAGAUGGGAGGGAUGGAGAGGCGGAGAGAGAUGGGAGUCGGCAAAUCAGGCAGAACAGACCUCAGGAGGCCAAGGGUAAAAAAAAUAAAAUACAGAAGUCCAUUCAACCACUUUGGAAAGCAACCUGGCAAUCUUCUGUUAAAGGUAAAUAUAUGCCCUAGGAUACAGCAUUUCCUUCCCUGGGAGUCUCCUCAAGGAAAUUCUCAGAUAACUGCACAAGAGACUUGAACAAGAUUACUGUGCUACUGCUUAUAAUAAUCACUUAAAUGGAUAUAAUUUAAAUGCCCACGGUGAUGACAAUGAAUAAAUAAAUUCUGGCACACUGCGAGAACAGAGUACUAUACAGCUGUAAAAAUUAAUUACCUGGAUGUACCUGUGUCAACAUAGACUGAGAGCCAAGAUAAUCAUGUGUGUGUGUGUGUGUGUGUGUGCGCGCGUGCGCGCAUUUUAUAGCUUGACUUCUGAUGUUGGUAUUUUAUGCUUUCUUUUUUUUUUCCCCGAUCAGUCCAACUAGAGAUUCAUUGAUUGUAUCAAACUUCUCAAAGGAUGACCUUUUUUAAAAUAAACCUUUUAUUUGGAAUAAUCUUACACGCACAGAAAACUUGCACAGGCAGGAGAAAGUUCUCAUACACCCCUCAUAUUGUUUCAGUUUUCCCUAUUACUAUCUCUGAUUACUGUUAUAAACCUGCCAAGUCUAAGAAACCCACAUUGGUAGGUUACUAUGAACUAAACUGUAGACUUUGUGUUUUACCAGGUUUCUAUCACUGACCUUUGUGUGUUUCAAGGUCCAGUCCAGAUGGCUACUUUGCACUGAGCUGUGCUAGUCUCCUGCGGUCUGACAGUUUUUCAGUAUUUCCUGCUUUUCAUGACCUUGAUGAUCUCAAGGAGUACUGGCCAGGUAUUUUGUAGCAUGUCCCUCAAUUUAGGGUGCACCUGUGAAUUUUCUCAUGAUGAGGGCAGGAUUAUUGGGUUUGGGGAAAGAACGUUACAAAGGAAAAGCGUCCUUCUCAGCUCAUAUUCGGGAAGCCUCUCGAAAGCCAAGUUCCCAGACAUCAGACAAAGGUCAAACUCACUUGCAGAGUUUUCUCUCUCUUUUUUUUUUAAUGUUUAUUUAUUUUUGAGAGAGGAGAGAGUGUGUGUUGGGGAUGGGCAGGGAGAGUAGGAGACAGAGGAUCUGAAGUAGGCUCUGCACCGACAGCAGCAAGCCAAAUGUGGGAACCCACAAACCGUGAGAUCAUGACCUGAGACGAAGGCGGACACUCAACCGACUGAGCCACCCAGGUGCCCCCGCUUGCAGACUUUUCUAAGGGAAGUAGCCUUAGGCCCACGGAGACAGGCUCCUGCCUUUGAAGUUUUGACACAGCCCCAGGAAAGCUCAAGCUGGGUAUUACGAUCACCAGGCUGGCAUUCCACGGCCACCCCUGAAGUCUGAGCUGUGACGUCUGCUGCAGAUGAGCGGUGAAGCAGAAUAGAUUCCCCUGUUCUUUUGGGAAAUGACUCCAACUUCAUGGUUCUGCCAGAAAUGAUCCAUCACAGCACGGAACGACCACCUGACCCCAAGCCAACCAAUCAUUCUUGCCUGGGAUUCCUUCCCAUGGAGCUGGUAUGGGGAAGCCCUCUUCCCUCUUUGCUCACCACCGUAAGCCUAGAAGCCUGGGCUACAUGUGGCCGUGACUCCAGGCCCGCGAGGACGGCCCACCUGAGAGAACAGAGGUAAGAGGGAGGGAUCUGAAUCCCUGGACCCGGAGGCCUAGACGGCUAGCUUUUCUCCGGCUCCUAGCAUUUCUUCACCGCGAGCCAUAAACUUCUUCUUGCCACUUACGGUAGUUUUAAUUAGGUCUGUGCACUCCCAGCCCAAAGGGCCCUGUCCUCAGCAUAUCUAUGCGGACUGAUGCAACGAAGCCGCUCACAACACAGCUGAUGAGGCCAAAGCAUGGAAAUACAGUGCAGGGAAGAACACAUCCAAAUCAAGUAGGAUU